Molecule: ribosomal RNA, 1085 nt
Filed under: Salmonella enterica subsp. enterica serovar Reading
Lineage: Bacteria; Pseudomonadati; Pseudomonadota; Gammaproteobacteria; Enterobacterales; Enterobacteriaceae
Description: partial 23S ribosomal RNA
Rfam family: Bacterial large subunit ribosomal RNA
Source: RNAcentral
CCGAGUCUUAAUUGGGCGUUAAGUUGCAGGGUAUAGACCCGAAACCCGGUGAUCUAGCCAUGGGCAGGUUGAAGGUUGGGUAACACUAACUGGAGGACCGAACCGACUAAUGUUGAAAAAUUAGCGGAUGACCUGUGGCUGGGGGUGAAAGGCCAAUCAAACCGGGAGAUAGCUGGUUCUCCCCGAAAGCUAUUUAGGUAGCGCCUCGUGAAUUCAUCUCCGGGGGUAGAGCACUGUUUCGGCUAGGGGGCCAUCCCGGCUUACCAACCCGAUGCAAACUGCGAAUACCGGAGAAUGUUAUCACGGGAGACACACGGCGGGUGCUAACGUCCGUCGUGAAGAGGGAAACAACCCAGACCGCCAGCUAAGGUCCCAAAGUCAUGGUUAAGUGGGAAACGAUGUGGGAAGGCCCAGACAGCCAGGAUGUUGGCUUAGAAGCAGCCAUCAUUUAAAGAAAGCGUAAUAGCUCACUGGUCGAGUCGGCCUGCGCGGAAGAUGUAACGGGGCUAAACCAUGCACCGAAGCUGCGGCAGCGAACGUAUCACCCAAGACAACUUUACGGAGUUGACGAUUGACGGAGCGAAGCGACGUCAAAGCGUUCAUUAAAGUCGAGUUGGCUUAGGGAUACGUUCGUUGGGUAGGGGAGCGUUCUGUAAGCCUGUGAAGGUGUGUCGUGAGGCAUGCUGGAGGUAUCAGAAGUGCGAAUGCUGACAUAAGUAACGAUAAAGCGGGUGAAAAGCCCGCUCGCCGGAAGACCAAGGGUUCCUGUCCAACGUUAAUCGGGGCAGGGUGAGUCGACCCCUAAGGCGAGGCCGAAAGGCGUAGUCGAUGGGAAACGGGUUAAUAUUCCCGUACUUGGUGUUACUGCGAAGGGGGGACGGAGAAGGCUAUGUUGGCCGGGCGACGGUUGUCCCGGUUUAAGCGUGUAGGUGUGUGUUCCAGGUAAAUCCGGUUCACUUUAACACUGAGGCGUGACGACGAGGCACUACGGUGCUGAAGCAACAAAUGCCCUGCUUCCAGGAAAAGCCUCUAAGCAUCAGGUAACAUCAAAUCGUACCCCAAACCGACACAGGUGGUCAGGUAGA